Molecule: ribosomal RNA, 453 nt
Filed under: uncultured bacterium
Lineage: Bacteria
Description: bacterial SSU rRNA
Rfam family: Bacterial small subunit ribosomal RNA
Source: RNAcentral
AGCGAACGCUAGCGGAUGGCUUAACACAUGCAAGUCGAGCGGGCAGCUUCGGCUGUCUAGCGGCGAACGGGUGCGUAACACGUGGGUAAUCUGCCUUCUGGUGGGGGAUAACCCGACGAAAGUCGGGCUAAUACCGCAUAUGGCCUACGGGUCAAAGCAGCAAUGCGCCAGUUGAUGAGCCCGCGGCCCAUUAUUUAACCCUAGUUGGCGGGGUAACGGCCCACCAAGGGUACGAUGGGUAGCUGGUCUGAGAGGACGAUCAGCCACACUGGGACUGAGACACGGCCCAGACUCCUACGGGAGGCAGCAGUGGGGAAUAUUGCGCAAUGGGCGAAAGCCUGACGCAGCCAAUCCGCGUGGGUGAUGAAGGCCUCGGUUGUAAGACCUCGUCGUGAGGGACGAAGGUUACUGACGGUACCGUCACAAGAAAGACACCGGCUAACCCCGUACGCC